AUUCCACUAUCAUAGUGUCUAGUUUGGCUACUUUAAUGGCCUGAGUAGCUCUAUGGUUACUCACCUCCAGACGCCAUCUCCCGAGUAACCAAAACAGAAUCAGAAGCAGGCAAACCACGCAUGUGGCCGUUUUCCAGCGGUAUUCCAGUAAAGGCAUUUUUCCAUGUUGCAUUGGCCUGCGGAAACCCUGGGCCCCUUCGGUUGGAGGCAGUGAAUGGAUGUACACUGGGGACGGUCGGGAAACUCAAAGUGACAGGCGCCUCCCGCUACGUCUCCCCUGGUCUCCCCCAGACCCAGAUCCCAAGACCCCUCUUGCCUGGGACACUGUGUACAUUUGGGGUCCCUCUGACACCAGUGAUGGAAGUACUGUACGUUUUGCACAAUUUUUGUACAAAGUCACAUUUUGAGGUACUCUGUUUUAAUACUACUUUAUCCUUCAACUCCACUACACUUCAGAGGGAAACUACUUUCUACUCUACUACCUUUCUUGGACAGAUUUAGUUGCUACUUACGAUAAAGAUUUAGAUGAAAAUUGUACACAAUGGAUAAUAUAAAAACCUCUGUUGAAAACAGUGGUUUUCCAAACUUUUUGGCUUCUG
Molecule: long non-coding RNA, 599 nt
Organism: Clupea harengus (Atlantic herring)
Lineage: Eukaryota; Metazoa; Chordata; Actinopteri; Clupeiformes; Clupeidae
Source: Ensembl